GGUUAUGGUUCAGUGGCAGAGCGCUCGCCUAGCAUGUGUGAGGCCCUGGGUUCAAUCCUCAGCACCA
RNAcentral lists this transfer RNA (67 nucleotides) under Marmota monax (woodchuck). RNAcentral's name for it is "tRNA.Ala". The record is from RNAcentral. Lineage: Eukaryota; Metazoa; Chordata; Mammalia; Rodentia; Sciuridae.